CGACGAGAGGUGUGAAGGGGAAAGGUCGAUAGGACAACGAAGGAAAAGGGGAUACGGGAGCAACGAAAUCCGAUGGCGAGAAGGAAGCUCGCAGGCGUGCGACUGCUACUCCGGACGUCUUGGCCGAUCACGAAUAUGGAGACGGCUCCGGUGCUUGGCCGAACCGAAGGAGGGGAAGAGACGAAAUCAGCGAGGCUCUCUCUUUCUCGUCCGGCGAUUGCAGACUCAUCGCACCAGAGAGGCAUGCUCCGGUGGUCGACUAGAUCGAAGAAAAGGAACGGUCCAUGGGUGUGGCCAGCAGUAGCAGCGAUGAGGUGAGACCUUCGGAGUUCUGGGGUUGUUGGCAACCGAAGAGGAAGAAGGCGAGGGCACAGGAGGCCUCGGUGGUGUUUCCUCGACAAUCACGAUGUCUCCCCCUCGUUUUGGCAGUUCCGAUCAAGUAAUCAACAAUAGGAAAGAAGGAAGAACGAGGGAUGCUGCUACUCCAUGGAAUUGAAGAAUGAGAAAGGAUGUGAGGGGGGUCCUGAAGCUUCAACUAAAACAAGGAUCACGUUAUGUGUGUGGUUAUCCUUGUGUAUUGAUGUGUAUAAAAAUAUGUUUAUUUUUGUGUGUAAAAUUGUAUAAGCCUUUGUGUGUGGUUUUAGAUGUGCAAGAUUUAGUAGUUGUCUUUUAUUUAUAAUGUGUUUAUUUUUGUGUCUAAAAGCUCCUGUGUAAUGUUUAGGUCGUGGUGAUUCAAAUCUCCAUGAAGUGACAUUUAAAGUUUCACGUUUAAUUAAGAUGA
Molecule: non-coding RNA, 781 nt
Organism: Lactuca sativa (garden lettuce)
Lineage: Eukaryota; Viridiplantae; Streptophyta; Magnoliopsida; Asterales; Asteraceae
Source: RefSeq, a predicted model, not a curated record